GAGUUUGAUCGUGGCUCAGGACGAACGCUGGCGGCGCGCCUAACACAUGCAAGUCGAACGGAGUUGUGUUGAAAGCUUGCUGGAUAUACAACUUAGUGGCGGACGGGUGAGUAACACGUGAGUAACCUGCCUUUCAGAGUGGAAUAACGUUUGGAAACGAACGCUAAUACCGCAUAACAUGAGAGAACGGCAUCGUUCUUUUAUCAAAGAUUUUAUCGCUGAGAGAUGGGCUCGCGGCCGAUUAGGUAGUUGGUGAGAUAACAGCCCACCAAGCCGACGAUCGGUAGCCGGACUGAGAGGUUGAACGGCCACAUUGGGACUGAGACACGGCCCAGACUCCUACGGGAGGCAGCAGUGGGGGAUAUUGCACAAUGGAGGAAACUCUGAUGCAGCGACGCCGCGUGAGGGAAGACGGUCUUCGGAUUGUAAACCUCUGUCUUUAGGGACG
This 448-nucleotide ribosomal RNA is filed under the name uncultured bacterium. RNAcentral describes it as "bacterial SSU rRNA". It matches the Rfam family "Bacterial small subunit ribosomal RNA", at positions 9 to 447 of the family's 1533-position model. The record is from RNAcentral.